CGACCGGCGCACGGGUGAGUAACACGUAUCCAACCUGCCGAUGACUCGGGGAUAGCCUCUCGAAAGAAAGAUUAAUACCCGAUGGCAUAGUUCUUCCGCAUGGUAGAACUAUUAAAGAAUUUCGGUCAUCGAUGGGGAUGCGUUCCAUUAGCUUGUUGGCGGGGUAACGGCCCACCAAGGCAUCGAUGGAUAGGGGUUCUGAGAGGAAGGUCCCCCACACUGGUACUGAGACACGGACCAGACUCCUACGGGAGGCAGCAG
RNAcentral lists this ribosomal RNA (261 nucleotides) under uncultured bacterium. Its description in RNAcentral is "partial 16S ribosomal RNA". It matches the Rfam family "Bacterial small subunit ribosomal RNA", at positions 92 to 354 of the family's 1533-position model. The record is from RNAcentral.